This 426-nucleotide ribosomal RNA is filed under the name uncultured bacterium. RNAcentral's name for it is "bacterial SSU rRNA". It matches the Rfam family "Bacterial small subunit ribosomal RNA", at positions 354 to 796 of the family's 1533-position model. The record is from RNAcentral.
GGGGGGAAUCUUGGACAAUGGGGGCAACCCUGAUCCAGCAACGCCGCGUGAGCGAAGAAGGCCUUCGGGUCGUAAAGCUCUUUUCUGGGGGAAGAGGAAGGACGGUACCCCAGGAAUAAGUCUCGGCUAACUACGUGCCAGCAGCCGCGGUAAAACGUAGGAGGCGAGCGUUAUCCGGAUUUACUGGGCGUAAAGGGCAAGUAGGCGGUGGCCAAAGUUGGGCGUGACAACUCCCGGCUCAACUGGGAGGGGUCGCUCAAAACUGGGUGACUAGAGGGCAGGAGAGGGAAGCGGAAUUCCUAGUGUAGCGGUGGAAUGCUCAGAUAUUAGGAAGAACACCAGUGGCGAAGGCGGCUUCCUGGCCUGUACCUGACGCUGAGAGGCGAAAGCUAGGGGAGCGAACGGGCUUAGAAACCCGUGUAGUCC